RNAcentral lists this ribosomal RNA (533 nucleotides) under uncultured bacterium. RNAcentral describes it as "bacterial SSU rRNA". It matches the Rfam family "Bacterial small subunit ribosomal RNA", at positions 975 to 1509 of the family's 1533-position model. The record is from RNAcentral.
UUGGGCUCGAAGCGCAGUGGACCGGGUGGAAACAUCCCUUUUCGCAAGAACUGCUGCGGAGGUGCUGCAUGGCUGUCGUCAGCUCGUGUCGUGAGAUGUUGGGUUAAGUCCCGNAACGAGCGCAACCCUUAUCGUUAGCUGCCAGCGGGUCAAGCCGGGCACUCUAGCGAAACCGCACAGGAUAACUGUGAGGAAGGUGGGGAUGACGUCAAGUCCUCAUGGCCUUUAUGUCCAGGGCUACACACGUGCUACAAUGGCCGGUACAAACCGUCGCAAACCCGCAAGGGGGAGCUAAUCGGAAAAAGCCGGCCUCAGUUCGGAUUGGAGUCUGCAACCCGACUCCAUGAAGCUGGAAUCGCUAGUAAUCGCGGAUCAGCACGCCGCGGUGAAUACGUUCCCGGGCCUUGUACACACCGCCCGUCACAUCACGAAAGUGGACUAUACUAGAAGCCGGUGAGCCAACCGCAAGGGGGCAGCCGUCCAAGGUAUGGUUCAUGAUUGGGGUGAAGUCGUAACAAGGUAAGCGUAGUGCU